RNAcentral lists this long non-coding RNA (564 nucleotides) under Homo sapiens (human). Its description in RNAcentral is "non-protein coding PCAT1:58". The record is from RNAcentral. Lineage: Eukaryota; Metazoa; Chordata; Mammalia; Primates; Hominidae.
CCAACGCAUCCAUCCCCAGAGGAACAAGCGAGGAUCUCAGAGCGCGACCUGGACAGUGUCUUGCCUUAGACGACGUUUGAGAAUUUGUCAGAACAGGGCCUGGAGGGAAUAAAAAGGAGGUGAGAAGUCUCUGUAGAGAUCAUCAACAUGGCCCAUCUCUCCUUAAAAGUAAGCCAAGUAAACUCACUUAUUAGAAGAAUGACAUCAUCAGGACUGUUUCUGAGAAAGCCUACUUCUGCUCCUUACCAUAUGUAGAAAUAUAAUUUCAUAUUAAAGACCAAGAAUUCAGACAUCAUCCUGGUGCAUACAUCAGGAUUGCAACGAUAAAUGCUUUGGAAAUGUCAUUGGAGGAAGGUAAUGUUUGACAUAGGAAAGAGAAGACUUGUGGGAACAUGGCUGCUGUUUCUAAUAUUGUGUUAUGAAAUUGGGAGCAAAUGUGUUCUUUGCCUCUAGAAGGUGAAAUUAGGGCCCAUGAAUGGGUGAAAGAAGCAAGAAGAUUUGGGCUCAGACCAAGGGGAAGAAUAAGUGUCUACCAUGCUUAGCCUUAGUGGGUAAGAUAGUUCA